RNA transcript from Manihot esculenta (cassava), 3661 nucleotides. It is a transcript of the gene named ATP-dependent zinc metalloprotease FTSH 7, chloroplastic, with no coding region annotated. The transcript has 14 exons. The record is from RefSeq and is a predicted model, not a curated record. Lineage: Eukaryota; Viridiplantae; Streptophyta; Magnoliopsida; Malpighiales; Euphorbiaceae.
AUCCGCAAACAGAGUCCCAUUAAAAAAUCCAAGCGCGUGUGCUCCUUUCCUCACUCUCCCAAAUAGAUUCUCGCAAAUCUCCGAUCAGAAUCAACCACCGACUGCCACUAUCUUCUUUGCACGUGUUCUCUUCACAACACAGCCUCAGCCAUGCGCGUCGCUACACUCGAUUGUUUAUCCAACACCUAUGUGACUCACAAUCGCAAAAGCGAUAAUGGUAGACGGAGAAAUUAGCAACUACGAUUCCUGAAAAAGGAAAGCCGGCGGUUUUUCUUUCAAACGGCUGAUAAUCCACGGCGAUCGUACUAGUUAAUGUGCCUCUGUUCUCUCGCGGAGAAUAACAUAUAAAUGAACAUUAAUAUUUCAUUUUUGUAUUUCGGUUAUGUAGGUUUUUGUGAAAGAGAUCAUGUCAUCAAUGCUUGAAACUCGAAGGUCAAUAACUCACACGAAGUUCCAAGCUAAUUGCACCUCUAAUUUAUGCUUCGUCCGUUGCCAGUCUAGGGUACUUCUCCAUAACUGUUCGCACCGUUUUGUUCCUAAUUCGACGUCGUUUUCUUCGGUAGUUUCUUCCAAAACACUACUGCAAGGAGGCGGAGGGUCCGGUGUUUGGGGACUAGGUAUUUUAAGGAACCAGAAGGCAAGAGAGUAUAGAAUUUUGGCUAACACUGAAGAUAGUGAUUCCACAGCAAGUUCCAGCGAGAAAAGGAACGAAAACGAAAGUGAGAAGGUCAGUAAUAAUCCGCCAAAUUCGGGGCCAAAGCAGAGGAGAGAGAAGCAAGGGAAGAGUCAAUGGUGGUCGAAGAAACAGAGCUGGAAAUGGCAACCCUUGAUUCAGGCGCAGGAAAUCGGGGUUUUGCUUUUGCAAUUAGGGAUAGUUAUGCUCGUAAUGCGAUUGCUUCGUCCUGGGAUCCCUUUACCCGGGUCGGAACCGAGGCAACCGACGACUUUUAUUGGCGUGCCUUACAGUGAGUUUUUGAACAGGAUCAAUAAUAAUCAAGUGCAGAAAGUGGAGGUUGAUGGGUUGCAUAUCAUGUUCAAAUUGAAAAAUGAUGGGAGUAAUAGUUAUGAGAGUAGCAAAGUGGUCAGUAGUAAAUUUCAGGAGUCGGAGUCUUUGUUGAGGAGUGUGUCACCUACUACAAAGAGGAUUGUGUAUACGACUACUCGACCGAUUGAUAUCAAGACUCCCUAUGAGAAAAUGCUCGAGAAUCAGGUGGAAUUUGGAUCCCCUGAUAGGAGGUCCGGCGGAUUCCUCAACUUCGCAUUGAUAGCUUUAUUCUAUAUGGCUGUGCUUGCAGGGCUUCUUCACCGGUUCCCUGUUAGCUUUUCACAGCAUCCAGCUGGCCAAAUUAGGAACCACAAGUCUGGAGGUUCUGGAGGUUCAAAAGUAGCACAGCUAGGAGAAACAAUCACUUUUGCUGAUGUUGCUGGUGUUGAUGAAGCUAAAGAAGAGCUGGAAGAGAUUGUGGAAUUCCUCAGGAAUCCAGACAGGUAUGUACGACUUGGUGCUCGCCCUCCUAGAGGUGUUCUCUUGGUGGGGCUUCCUGGUACUGGUAAAACUCUUCUUGCAAAGGCUGUUGCUGGAGAAGCAGAAGUGCCAUUUAUUAGUUGUUCUGCAAGUGAAUUUGUGGAAUUAUAUGUUGGCAUGGGCGCCUCCCGUGUGAGAGAUCUCUUUGCUCGGGCAAAGAAAGAAGCACCAUCAAUAAUUUUUAUUGAUGAGAUAGAUGCUGUUGCAAAAAGUCGUGAUGGAAAAUUUCGCAUUAUCAGCAAUGAUGAACGGGAGCAAACUUUGAAUCAGUUGCUCACUGAAAUGGAUGGGUUUGACAGCAACUCUGCUGUGAUUGUUCUUGGUGCAACAAAUAGAUCAGAUGUCUUAGAUCCUGCACUUCGUCGUCCAGGAAGAUUUGACCGUGUGGUUAUGGUGGAAACACCUGAUAGGAAUGGAAGAGAAGCCAUAUUAAAAGUGCAUGCUUCCAAGAAAGAACUCCCUCUUGAAGUAGAUGUUGACCUUAGUGACAUUGCAUCUAUGACUACUGGUUUUACUGGGGCUGAUCUUGCAAAUCUGGUCAAUGAAGCUGCUUUACUUGCUGGAAGGAAGAACAAAGUAGUUGUGGAGAAGAUUGAUUUCAUUCAUGCAGUGGAGCGGUCAAUAGCUGGCAUUGAGAAAAAGACUGCCAAGUUACAAGGAAGUGAGAGGGGUGUGGUUGCACGUCAUGAAGUUGGUCAUGCAGUAGUAGGUACUGCAGUUGCUAACCUCCUUCCAAGACAACCACGCCCUGAGAAGUUAAGCAUAUUGCCAAGAUCAGGAGGGGCAUUAGGCUUUACUUAUACACCUCCAACAAAUGAGGACAGAUAUUUGCUCUUCAUUGAUGAAUUACGUGGUCAUUUGGUUACACUUCUUGGAGGACGUGCAGCAGAAGAAGUUGUGUAUUCAGGUCGUGUCUCAACAGGUGCACUGGAUGAUAUACGACGAGCUACUGACAUGGCAUAUAAGGCAGUAGCAGAAUAUGGUCUUAAUCAGACAAUAGGGCCUGUGUCUCUAGCAACACUUUCUGGAGGUGGGAUGGAUGAGUAUGGAAUUGCUUCAUGGGGAAGGGAUCAGGGGCAUCUUGUCGAUCUUGUUCAAAAAGAGGUAAAAGUAUUGUUGCAAUCUGCCCUAGAUGUAGCACUUUGUGUUGUUCGUGCUAAUCCUACUGUCGUGGAAGGGCUUGGUGCCCAUCUAGAAGAAAAGGAGAAAGUAGAAGGUGAGGAGCUGCAGAGGUGGUUAAAAUUGGUAGUUGCUCCAAAAGAGCUCUCACUCUUCGUUAGAGGUGAGAAAGAGUCGCUUCUCCCGCAGCAGACUGGCUUGUGAUGGCAAUAUUUGCACAUUCAGCUCUUCAGUAUUAAGAAAAAUACAAAUUUAGCUUAUAGCACUUCAAACCAGCACAACCUUGGCUUCCCCUUAGCCAUACAGCAUUGUAUAUUUCACUGAGAUAAAUUUUGGUUCAUUUUGGUAUUAACAACCUAAAGAUACACCAAGUUGGGAAAUCUGAAGAUUUAUUUCUUCCGGAGCCUUCUCAAGCCCCCUUUGAUUCCUGCAGGGCUGAAACCUGGUUGAGAGGAAGAAAGAAGUUGAUCUAUGGACCAAUCAGCGCAAGAUUGUGGAAACUAUGAUCGGCAGCAGAUGAUUGAUUGCUGGAUGACCAAAAUGAAGAAAAAGUUUCUGAAAAAUUAAAGGUCGACUUUAGAAGAAAACUGCAAUUCCAGUUCUGAUGGGGAGUCAGAUUGACUCAGGAAUGUUUGUUAAAGAAUGAAGUCCCACAUCACAUUGAGAAGCUGUGUGAUGUUUCCCUAUAAGGCAAUGAAAUAUGGAUUUGACGUGAGUGAAUCAGCAAGCAUCAGACUUAAAUGUAACAAAAUAUCAUGAAAAAUGAUUAUGAAGAUUGUUUGAUGAUUUGACAUUGAUAUUUUUGUUAGGAGAGUAAAAUAUCAAUGUUGCUUUCUGAAACGACAUCAUCUUUGUUGUCUAUAGCAACAGGAAUCUGAAGAAGGCUAAGGAGCAGUUGUGGUCUUCAAUCUAGAGUAUUCGGUAAUGGUAUGAACUAUAAAGGAUGGCAGGUUCUUGCCAGUUGGAUGUAUUAUCUAGAGGGGUAGUUGUCUCGGGGAGCAUUAACCCUAUCCAUAU